Molecule: microRNA, 22 nt
Filed under: Echinococcus granulosus
Lineage: Eukaryota; Metazoa; Platyhelminthes; Cestoda; Cyclophyllidea; Taeniidae
Description: egr-miR-10269-3p
Source: miRBase by way of RNAcentral
AUGGAUUGAAUAAGAGUGCACA